This 579-nucleotide ribosomal RNA is filed under the name uncultured bacterium. RNAcentral's name for it is "partial 16S ribosomal RNA". It matches the Rfam family "Bacterial small subunit ribosomal RNA", at positions 355 to 1376 of the family's 1533-position model. The record is from RNAcentral.
UAAGGAAUAUUGGUCAAUGGACGCAAGUCUGAACCAGCCAUGCCGCGUGAAGGAUUAAGGUCCUCUGGAUUGUAAACUUCUUUUAUCUGGGACGAAAAAAGGCGAUUCUUCGUCACUUGACGGUACCAGAUGAAUAAGCACCGGCUAACUCCGUGCCAGCAGCCGCGGUAAUACGGAGGGUGCAAGCGUUAUCCGGAUUCACUGGGUUUAAAGGGUGCGUAGGCGGGCAGGUAAGUCAGUGGUGAAAUCCUAGAGCUUAACUCUAGAACUGCCAUUGAUACUAUCUGUCUUGAAUAUUGUGGAGGUAAGCGGAAUAUGUCAUGUAGCGGUGAAAUGCUUAGAUAUGACAUAGAACACCUAUUGCGAAGGCAGCUUACUACGCAUAUAUUGACGCUGAGGCACGAAAGCGUGGGGAUCAAACAGGAUUAGAUACCCUGGUAGUCCACGCCCUAAACGAUGAUUACUCGACAUUUGUGAUACACUAUAAGUGUCUGAGCGAAAGCAUUAAGUAAUCCACCUGGGAAGUACGACCGCAAGGUUAAAACUCAAAUGAAUUGACGGGGUCAUAGCUGUUUCCUG